Perognathus longimembris pacificus (Pacific pocket mouse) is the source of this 452-nucleotide long non-coding RNA. RefSeq lists it as uncharacterized. The record is from RefSeq and is a predicted model, not a curated record. Lineage: Eukaryota; Metazoa; Chordata; Mammalia; Rodentia; Heteromyidae. The transcript has 3 exons.
UAUCAGCUAUGGUCACAGAUAUUAUGCAAGGUAAUGAAAUAGCUGUUGGUGGUAGUAAUAUCGUAGAGAUGGAUUAUAUUUGGAAAUAACUAUCCUUAAGUUAAAAUACAGAGCUAUGUGAUACCUCAAAACACUAGUGCAACAGUGUUUUUGAUUAUGCCUACUCUAUUUGGGGAAGCAGAAGAGAAGAUAAAGAAGCCUUAAGCAUUUUUUCGAAGGAACUUUAAUGCUUUUUUCUUUAUCCCUGCUCAAGUGUUACUAGCAAAGUUAGAAUUGGGAGGAGAAUCUUAGUUUUUGAGAUCAUACCAGGCAGAAAGUUGGUAAGACUCCUAUUUAAGAUGAAAAGUUGGAUGAAGUGAUGUGACUCUGUCAUAACAGCUAUCUGCAAGAAGCGUAAAUAGGAUUGUAGCCCAGUCUGGCCUAGACAUAAAAGGGAAUACCUAUAUGAAAAA